This 405-nucleotide ribosomal RNA is filed under the name uncultured bacterium. RNAcentral describes it as "partial 16S ribosomal RNA". It matches the Rfam family "Bacterial small subunit ribosomal RNA", at positions 28 to 526 of the family's 1533-position model. The record is from RNAcentral.
GAUGAACGCUGGCGGCGUGCCUAAUACAUGCAAGUCGAGCGAAGCGGGGACGGGUGAGUAACACGUGGAUAACCUCCUAUAAGACUGGGGUAACUUCGGGAAAACGGAGCUAAACCCGUUACUUAGAGAUGUAUCCGCGCUGCAUUAGCUAGUUGGUAAGGUAACGGCUGACAAAGGCAACGAUGCAUAGCCGACCUGACAGGGUGAUCGGCCACACUGGAACUGAGACACGGUCCAGACUCCUACGGGAGGCAGCAGUAGGGAAUCUUCCGCAAUGGGCGAAAGCCUGACGGAGCAACGCCGCGUGAGUGAUGAAGGUCUUCGGAUUGUAAAACUCUGUUAUUAGGGAAGCGGUACCUAAUCAGAAAGCCACGGCUAACUACGUGCCAGCAGCCGCGGUAAUAC